Molecule: long non-coding RNA, 2980 nt
Organism: Trematomus bernacchii (emerald rockcod)
Lineage: Eukaryota; Metazoa; Chordata; Actinopteri; Perciformes; Nototheniidae
Exons: 7
Source: RefSeq, a predicted model, not a curated record
ACUAACGAGGAGGAGGUGAGGCUUUACUAACGAGGAGGUGAGACUUUACUAACGAGGAGGUGAGACUAGGGAACUCUAUUAACGAGGAGGUGAGGCUUUACUAACGAGGAGGAGGUGAGGCUUUACUAACGAGGAGGUGAGACUUUACUAACGAGGAGGUGAGACUAGGGAACUCUAUUAACGAGGAGGUGAGGCUUUACUAACGAGGAGGUGAGGCUUUACUAACGAGGAGGUGAGACUUUACUAACGAGGAGGUGAGACUAGGGAACUCUAUUAACGAGGAGGUGAGGCUUUACUAACGAGGAGGAGGUGAGGCUUUACUAACGAGGAGGUGAGACUUUACUAACGAGGAGGUGAGACUUUACUAACGAGGAGGUGAGACUAGGGAACUCUAUUAACGAGGAGGUGAGGCUUUACUAACGAGGAGGAGGUGAGGCUUUACUGACGAGGAGGUGAGGCUUUACUAACGAGGAGGAGGUGAGGCUUUACUAACGAGGAGGUGAGACUAGGGAACUCUAUUAACGAGGAGGUGAGGCUUUACUAACGAGGAGGAGGUGAGGCUUUACUAACGAGGAGGUGAGACUUUACUAACGAGGAGGUGAGACUAGGGAACUCUAUUAACGAGGAGGUGAGGCUUUACUAACGAGGAGGAGGUGAGGCUUUACUAACGAGGAGGUGAGACUUUACUAACGAGGAGGUGAGACUAGGGAACUCUAUUAACGAGGAGGUGAGGCUUUACUAACGAGGAGGUGAGGCUUUACUAACGAGGAGGUGAGACUUUACUAACGAGGAGGUGAGACUAGGGAACUCUAUUAACGAGGAGGUGAGGCUUUACUAACGAGGAGGAGGUGAGGCUUUACUAACGAGGAGGUGAGACUAGGGAACUCUAUUAACGAGGAGGUGAAGCUUUACUAACGAGGAGGUGAGGCUUUACUAACGAGGAGGUGAGGCUUUACUAACGAGGAGGUGAGACUUUACUAACGAGGAGGUGAGACUAGGGAACUCUAUUAACGAGGAGGUGAGGCUUUACUAACGAGGAGGUGAGGCUUUACUAACGAGGAGGUGAGACUUUACUAACGAGGAGGUGAGACUUUACUAACGAGGAGGUGAGACUAGGGAACUCUAUUAACGAGGAGGUGAGGCUUUACUAACGAGGAGGAGGUGAGGCUUUACUGACGAGGAGGUGAGGCUUUACUAACGAGGAGGAGGUGAGGCUUUACUAACGAGGAGGUGAGACUAGGGAACUCUAUUAACGAGGAGGUGAGGCUUUACUAACGAGGAGGAGGUGAGGCUUUACUAACGAGGAGGUGAGACUUUACUAACGAGGAGGUGAGACUAGGGAACUCUAUUAACGAGGAGGUGAGGCUUUACUAACGAGGAGGUGAGGCUUGACUAACGAGGAGGAGGUGAGGCUUUACUAACGAGGAGGUGAGACUUUACUAACGAGGAGGUGAGACUAGGGAACUCUAUUAACGAGGAGGUGAGGCUUUACUAACGAGGAGGAGGUGAGGCUUUACUAACGAGGAGGUGAGACUAGGGAACUCUAUUAACGAGGAGGUGAAGCUUUACUAACGAGGAGGUGAGGCUUUACUAACGAGGAGGUGAGGCUUUACUAACGAGGAGGUGAGGCUUUACUAACGAGGAGGUGAGACUAGGGAACUCUAUUAACGAGGAGGUGAGGCUUUACUAACGAGGAGGAGGUGAGGCUUUACUGACGAGGAGGUGAGGCUUUACUAACGAGGAGGAGGUGAGGCUUUACUAACGAGGAGGUGAGACUAGGGAACUCUAUUAACGAGGAGGUGAGGCUUUACUAACGAGGAGGAGGUGAGGCUUUACUAACGAGGAGGUGAGACUUUACUAACGAGGAGGUGAGACUAGGGAACUCUAUUAACGAGGAGGUGAGGCUUUACUAACGAGGAGGUGAGGCUUGACUAACGAGGAGGAGGUGAGGCUUUACUAACGAGGAGGUGAGACUUUACUAACGAGGAGGUGAGACUAGGGAACUCUAUUAACGAGGAGGUGAGGCUUUACUAACGAGGAGGAGGUGAGGCUUUACUAACGAGGAGGUGAGGCUUUACUAACGAGGAGGUGAGACUUUACUAACGAGGAGGUGAGACUAGGGAACUCUAUUAACGAGGAGGUGAGGCUUUACUAACGAGGAGGUGAGGCUUUACUAACGAGGAGGUGAGACUUUACUAACGAGGAGGUGAGACUUUACUAACGAGGAGGUGAGACUAGGGAACUCUAUUAACGAGGAGGUGAGGCUUUACUAACGAGGAGGAGGUGAGGCUUUACUGACGAGGAGGUGAGGCUUUACUAACGAGGAGGAGGUGAGGCUUUACUAACGAGGAGGUGAGACUAGGGAACUCUAUUAACGAGGAGGUGAGGCUUUACUAACGAGGAGGAGGUGAGGCUUUACUAACGAGGAGGUGAGACUAGGGAACUCUAUUAACGAGGAGGUGAAGCUUUACUAACGAGGAGGUGAGGCUUUACUAACGAGGAGGUGAGGCUUUACUAACGAGGAGGUGAGACUUUACUAACGAGGAGGUGAGACUAGGGAACUCUAUUAACGAGGAGGUGAGGCUUUACUAACGAGGAGGUGAGGCUUUACUAACGAGGAGGUGAGACUUUACUAACGAGGAGGUGAGACUAGGGAACUCUAUUAACGAGGAGGUGAGGCUUUACUAACGAGGAGGAAGUGAGGCUUUACUGACGAGGAGGUGAGGCUUUACUAACGAGGAGGAGGUGAGGCUUUACUAACGAGGAGGUGAGACUAGGGAACUCUAUUAACGAGGAGGUGAGGCUUUACUAACGAGGAGGAGGUGAGGCUUUACUAACGAGGAGGUGAGACUUUACUAACGAGGAGGUGAGACUAGGGAACUCUAUUAACGAGGAGGUGAGGCUUUACUAACGAGGAGGAGGUGAGGCUUUACUAACGAGGAGGUGAGACUUUACUAACGAGGAGGUGAGACUAGGGAAC